GCAUUCCUCUUUGACGUAACCCACCCACCGGUACGAGGCCAUGCGGAAUAGGCAGUCAUUUAAAGAGAAGCGUGAACGCUAAACGAGGGCAGAACAAGGGYCACSUAAGACCCUAUGCCCACAUCAGGUUCCGUAUCCAUGAUAACAAGCAAUGCUCAAUGGGCCACAACAUCAAUGCAAACACUAAUGAUGUGGAUCAAAGAGAUAGCUUCAAGGUUCAUCUGAUGCCAAGUUGGAUGACAAAAGACGAAAGCUAAUUCAUUCGAUCAGGACAAUACCAUGACUUAGGUAGGCAACACAGGAAACCCCAUCCGCAUAGGUGAUASAACCACCUAGGCAAGCAGACUGAAAAGGUAAUCCGGGUGGCAGUUGUUGCGCAAGCAAA
Molecule: unclassified non-coding RNA, 385 nt
Filed under: Balsamorhiza hookeri
Lineage: Eukaryota; Viridiplantae; Streptophyta; Magnoliopsida; Asterales; Asteraceae
Description: partial external transcribed spacer
Source: RNAcentral